CAGCAGCCACGGUAAUACGUAGGGUGCGAGCGUUAAUCGGAAUUACUGGGCGUAAAGCGUGCGCAGGCGGUUUUGUAAGACAGAGGUGAAAUCCCCGGGCUCAACCUGGGAACUGCCUUUGUGACUGCAAGGCUAGAGUACGGCAGAGGGGGAUGGAAUUCCGCGUGUAGCAGUGAAAUGCGUAGAUAUGCGGAGGAACACCGAUGGCGAAGGCAAUCCCCUGGGCCUGUACUGACGCUCAUGCACGAAAGCGUGGGGAGCAAACAGGAUUAGAUACCCCCGUAGUCCCUGUCUCUUAUAC
Molecule: ribosomal RNA, 301 nt
Filed under: uncultured bacterium
Lineage: Bacteria
Description: partial 16S ribosomal RNA
Rfam family: Bacterial small subunit ribosomal RNA
Source: RNAcentral